UCUUCCGCAAUGGACGAAAGUCUGACGGAGCAACGCCGCGUGAGUGAUGAAGGUUUUCGGAUCGUAAAGCUCUGUUGUUAGGGAAGAACAAGUGCAAGAGUAACUGCUUGCACCUUGACGGUACCUAACCAGAAAGCCACGGCUAACUACGUGCCAGCAGCCGCGGUAAUACGUAGGUGGCAAGCGUUGUCCGGAAUUAUUGGGCGUAAAGGGCUCGCAGGCGGUUUCUUAAGUCUGAUGUGAAAGCCCCCGGCUCAACCGGGGAGGGUCAUUGGAAACUGGGAAACUUGAGUGCAGAAGAGGAGAGUGGAAUUCCACGUGUAGCGGUGAAAUGCGUAGAGAUGUGGAGGAACACCAGUGGCGAAGGCGACUCUCUGGUCUGUAACUGACGCUGAGGAGCGAAAGCGUGGGGAGCGAACAGGAUUAGAUACCCUGGUAGUCCACGCCGUAAACGAUGAGUGCUAAGUGUUAGGGGGUUUCCGCCCCUUAGUGCUGCAGCUAACGCAUUAAGCACUCCGCCUGGGGAGUACGGUCGCAAGACUGAAACUCAAAGGAAUUGACGGGGGCCCGCACAAGCGGUGGAGCAUGUGGUUUAAUUCGAAGCAACGCGAAGAACCUUACCAGGUCUUGACAUCCUCUGACAACCCUAGAGAUAGGGCUUUCCCUUCGGGGACAGAGUG
Molecule: ribosomal RNA, 680 nt
Filed under: Bacillus sp. (in: firmicutes)
Lineage: Bacteria; Bacillati; Bacillota; Bacilli; Caryophanales; Bacillaceae
Description: bacterial SSU rRNA
Rfam family: Bacterial small subunit ribosomal RNA
Source: RNAcentral